Molecule: ribosomal RNA, 801 nt
Filed under: uncultured bacterium
Lineage: Bacteria
Description: bacterial SSU rRNA
Rfam family: Bacterial small subunit ribosomal RNA
Source: RNAcentral
AGAGUUUGAUCAUGGCUCAGAAUCAACGCUGGCGGCGCGCUUAACACAUGCAAGUCGAGCGAGAACCGGGACUUCGGUCCUGGGGACAGCAGCGAACGGGUGAGUAACACGUGGGUAAUCUGCCCUCGAUUCUGGGAUAGCCCGGGGAAACCCGGAUUAAUACCGGAUAGCCUUUCGAGCUUUCGGGCUUGAAAGAAAAGGUAGCUUCGGCCUCCGAUCGAGGAUGAGCCCGCGGUGGAUUAGCUUGUUGGCGGGGUAAUGGCCCACCAAGGCGACGAUCCAUAGCUGGUCUGAGAGGACGAUCAGCCACACUGGGACUGAGACACGGCCCAGACUCCUACGGGAGGCAGCAGUGGGGAAUCUUGCGCAAUGGGCGAAAGCCUGACGCAGCGACGCCGCGUGGGGGAAGAAGGCCUUAGGGUUGUAAACCUCUUUCAGGUGGGACGAAGCCACUCGGGUUAAUAGCCCAGAGGGUGACGGUACCGCCAGAAGAAGCCCCGGCUAACUACGUGCCAGCAGCCGCGGUAAUACGUAGGGGGCAAGCGUUGUCCGGAUUUAUUGGGCGUAAAGAGCGUGUAGGCGGCCAGGUAGGUGGGUUGUGAAAACUGGAGGCUCAACCUUCAGACGUCGACCCAAACCCCCUGGCUAGAGUCCGGAAGAGGAGAGUGGAAUUCCUGGUGUAGCGGUGAAAUGCGCAGAUAUCAGGAAGAACACCCGUGGCGAAGGCGGCUCUCUGGGACGGUACUGACGCUGAGACGCGAAAGCGUGGGGAGCGAACAGGAUUAGAUACCCUAGUAGUCC